GUCUUCUCGUGAGGGGUUGAGAAGUCGGACCUGCCCAGUGACUAUUUUGUUUAACGGCCGCGGUAUACUGACUGUGCAAAGGUAGCAUAAUCAUUAGUUCUUUAAUAGGGAACUGGUAUGAAUGGUUUGACGAAAUAAUAUCUGUCUCAGCUUUAAAUUUAAAAUUUAUCUUUUAAGUCAAAAGACUUAAAUUUUAUUGGAAGACGAGAAGACCCUAUAGAGCUUUAUAUACUUUCUGUAUAUCUCCUAUUAUUAGAUUUAUUUAGACUGUUUAUUUUGUUGGGGUGAUUAUUAAAUAUAAAUAACUUUAUUAUUAAUUUUACAUUUAUUUAUGAUUAAAUAGAUCCUUUAUUAUUGAUUAUUAGACUAAGUUACCUUAGGGAUAACAGCGUUAUUUUCUUUUAGAGUUCAAAUUUACAAGAAAGAUUGCGACCUCGAUGUUGGAUUAAGAUAAUGGUUUGGUGCAGAAGCUUAAUUAAUAGGUCUGUUCGACCUUUAAAUUCUUACAUGAUCUGAGUUCAAACCGG
This 527-nucleotide ribosomal RNA is filed under the name Devadatta somoh. RNAcentral's name for it is "partial 16S ribosomal RNA". It matches the Rfam family "Bacterial large subunit ribosomal RNA", at positions 1825 to 2619 of the family's 2925-position model. Lineage: Eukaryota; Metazoa; Arthropoda; Insecta; Odonata; Devadattidae. The record is from RNAcentral.